UACAGAGGCCACAAGCGUUAAUCGGAAUCACUGGGCUUAAAGGGUGCGUAGGCGGCUCACCAAGUGCUUUGUGAAAUCCCACGGCUCAACCGUGGAACAGCAGGGCAUACUGGUGGGCUUGAGGCUGGUAAGGGCUGCCGGAACAGUAGGUGGAGCGGUGAAAUGCGUAGAUAUCUACUGGAACGCCGAUGGUGAAGACGGGCAGCUGGGCCAGACCUGACGCUGAGGCACGAAAGCGUGGGGAGCAAACAGG
This 253-nucleotide ribosomal RNA is filed under the name uncultured bacterium. RNAcentral describes it as "partial 16S ribosomal RNA". It matches the Rfam family "Bacterial small subunit ribosomal RNA", at positions 524 to 776 of the family's 1533-position model. The record is from RNAcentral.